GGAACCCGGAUCGAGGCCGCGCGCGCCGCGGUCGCGGGGCUGGCGGAGGGGAAGCUGGGUACCCUCUUCUGUGCCUGCGGUUCUCUGACCCACCCACCUGCAGACGCAGGGUGGGGCGCUCACAGUGGGCACGCUGCUCUGGGGCCGGUGGGCGGAUGGUUGGAAGGCGAGGCCGAGGAGCUGGGAGCGCGGUCCACGCGGGGCGUCUCGAGGCGCCCUCGGGCUGAUGUCCUUGGCUCGCCUCCUCGCCCUCGGUCGCCCGGGCUGCGCUCUGCAUCCUAAUCUGGCUCCUUCAGAGCCCCCCUCAGAAACCAAGGGGAGGAAUUCCGCAGUUCACUUCCCACACAACCCAAAUCCUUCAUCUGUCGCCUCGGGAACACCGCAUCCUACACCCCCUGCCGCCAGCUCCUUCGCACGCCAGCCCCGAUUCUUCCCCAGCGGGUUCUGGGCCCUGACGAGGGAACCCCCCUCGCGGGGGGGAGGGAGAAGAGUUGAUUUUAUUAUUAAUAGCUGACGCAGCGCUUGAUAGGUGUCUGCAGGGCAGUCACAGUUCACGCCGCUGGAGCUGCCACACAGCAGCUAGACUUGGGCUAGGAGGUGCUUCGCUGUGGCUUUCAGAUGAAGGCCAUUUCAUAGACUCACUUCCCUCGACAGGAGAAAAGGGGACUUGAAUCCAAAGCUGCUCUUAAACCACAGAUGAUUUGCUCUGCUCGGGAGGACAAAGCGCAGGUCACAGCAAGAUAAAGGGAAUUUUGCCAAUAUAAAGAAGCUACAUUACUUAACAAGGGGAUGGGAAAUUGCAUGGAAUUCAUGAACAAAACAUGAACAUAUUCUCUUCACAAAGAAGAGCAGCUUUCUUCACGGAGUAGGUUGCAGAAUGAAGCAAUUAGUCCACUUUUGUGUUUAACAAUAACGCACCAUCCGCAUGAGCAAAAGCAGAGCAGAAAAAUCACCUCAGUUGUCUCAAGUGGCUGGGCUUCAGGACUUAAGAUAAAUUCCUUCAGCAGAUGCAAAUUACAGUGCAUCACCAGCUGAAAAAAUCAGGCACGUCAUGUCAUUUAAUUAUUUCCAAGGAGUGGACGUUGGCAUGUAGUUUUGAUUGAUACUUGGAAAAGAACCAACAAAACCCUACACGAAACAAACAAACAAAAAAUUAUACUAUAUGGCAACGCACUGAGAGAAGCCAGGUGGAAACUGGUUAGGUCACAGGAUCAGAGCCGCUUCAAGAGGGGCACGUGAGUGCACGGUGGGAGUGUGGUCAUGGAGGGCUGGCUGUUGUUGCCCUCUGAGACCAGCUCUGCACCAUUUCGUACCAAUUCUUCUCCCUUACCUCCUCUGUCUCUUUCAGGACCGAUAGAAGCACUGCAGGCAGGAGAAGGAUGGUUUACCUUUCUCAGCCUGGAAAUUAGCUUAGGCAUUUGAUGUUGAAUAUUCUGUGCCACUGUCACUGCUUGGGGUUGUAAGCACCUCUGGUGCAAUUAUGAGCUUCUGGAGGAGUUCCUGACCUCAGCCUUUGUAUGGAAUGCUCUUCCCACAGAUCUUCUUCACUUGUGUCGUUCUCUUUCCAUUCAGAUCGCAGCUUACAUGUCCCCUCCUCAGAGAUGUCUUUGCUGUCUAAAGUGGCUACCCAGCCACAGUGGCUCACGUCUGUAAUCCCAGCAUUUUGGGAGGCUGAGGCAGGAGGAUCCCUUGAGCCCAGGAGUUUGAGACCAGCCUGGGCAAUAUAGCGAGACUCCAUCUCUACUAAAAAAAAAAAAGAAAAAAAUUAGCUGGGCGUGGUGGCCUGAACCUUUAGUCCCAGCUACUCAGGAGGCUAAAGAGAGAGGAUCGCUUGAACCCAGGAGGUCAAGACUGCAGUGAUCUGUGAUCACGCCACUGCACUCCAGCCUGAGCAACAACAGAGUGAGACCUUGUCUCAAAAAAAAAAUUAAAUAAUAAAUAAAUUAAAAAGUGGCUACUCUCGGCAAUUCACCUUCCAUCACAUUUUUCAGUUUUCUUUUCUUCUUUUUUUUCCUUUGAGACAGAGUCUCUCUCUGUCACCCAGGCUGGAGGACAGCAGCACAAUCCCAGCUCACCACAACCUCGGCCUCCUGGGUUCAAGCAGUUCUUGUGCCUCCGCCUCCCAAGUAGCUGGGACUACAGGUGCACGCCACCAUGCCUGCCUCAUUUUUGUAUUUUUAGUAGAGAUGGGGUUUCACCAUGUUGGCCAGGCUGGCUUCGAACUGACCUCAGGUAAUCUGCCUGCCUCGGCCUCCCAAAGUGCUGGGAUUACAGGCAUGAGCCACCGUGCCCGGUCAGUUUUCUUCACAGUGCUUACUUGUGAUGUUGUAUUUUGGUUUAGCUGUUAACUGCUUGUCUCCUAGUGUCUCAUGGAGCUCUAGGACAGAAGCUCCAUAAGAACAGGGCCUGUCCAUCUUGUCCAUCCUCAGUACAAAGAACAGUCCCUAGUCUAUGCUCCUCAUUUAUUAAAUGCCUGCUGUUUGAAUGAAUGAAUUAGUCCCACCAUCCCUAGCCCAUAAGUGACUUGCAAAGGGCCUCCCCCAUAGGAAGGCCUCAGCAAAUUUUCAGUGAACUCAAGUUCAUUGAUUUCCAAUUUGUGAAAUAAACUAGAGGGCCUCUCUGAACUACCUGCCUCAUGAGAAUGACUGUGAAGUGUAGUCAGUUUAAAACAAACAGACAAAAACAAAGCUAGACAGCAUUACAGGUUUCUCAGAAAGAAGGAAGGUUCAAGUUCACAUUGGUACUGUUACCACGUUGCCAUUGCCCUCCUAGACUGUUCUCUGCAAGCUUUCUAUUUACUGGAGGCUGGAAUACUCUCUUAAGCUGAAACAGUGUGAUUUUAAGCCCAGAAUUGGCCCCCUUAGACAUCAUCAUAACAAUUAUGCUCUUGGUUCCUCAACCUGCUGGUGUCUCUGAAAGCUGUUGUUGAUGGGUUGCCAAAAUUUAUCAGAAACGCAGUCUCCCAAAGGCAGAAAUAUCUAGUUUCUCUCAUGUAGAAAUAAACUUGUGCUUAAUUUAUUUUAUGCAUCGUGUUGUACUUGCUUCUUGUUAAGAAGGGUUUUUAAAAGUAAGAAUAGGUUUUAGAAAUACUCUAUUUUUCAGCAAGGAUUGCAGGUACAUUCAAUCAAUUGAGGACAGGGAGAGAAAACAGAAACUGUGAUUCAGAAAGAUGGAUGAUUUGAUUAAAGAACUUCAAAGGCAUUAAUAAAGGAGGACAUUAGCUGCUAAAAGGCAAGCUGGUUUAAAAAGCAAGUUAGACAGAAAUGGACAGUGGAAAUAAGUGACUUGUAAAAGAGGCCCCAGCCAACUUCCCAAUGCUCUACAGCUCCUUGUAAAGCAGUGGAGAUUGUAAAAGGCAGUCCAUUCUGUAUUUGGACAGCUCUAAUCAUUAAAGCAGUCUCAUUCUAGGCUGGAUCCACCUCCCAUUGGCUAACUUCAUCUAUACAUUGGAUCUUGUUUAGCUCUCUGGAACCAUUCCAAAUGAAUUUCAUCCCUCUUUGGUGUGAGAUCCCUUUGAGUAUUUCAAGCUAUCUACUGUGUUAAAAAGUCUCUUCUCAGCCGGGCACGGCGGCUCACGCCUGUAAUCCCAGCACUUUGGGAGGACAAGGCGGGCAGAUCACAAGGUCAGGAGUUCGAGACCAGCCUGGCCAACAUGGUGAAACCCCAUCUCUACUAAAAAAAAAAAAUACAAAAAUUAGCCAGGCAUGGUGGCAUGCACCUGUAAUCCCAGCUACUCUGGAGGCUGAGGCGGAAGAAUUGCUUGAACCCGGGAGGCAGGGGUUGCAGUGAGCCGAGAUUGUGCCAUUGCACUCUGGCCUGGGUGACAAAGCAAGACUCCAUCUAGGGAAAAAAAAAAGUCUCUUCCCGGCUUCUUCCUAGAUCAUGAGUUUGUAAUCCCUCAGCAACUUUGUCAUCCAGUCCUAGAGGUACCCAGUACUGAAUACAAAAGUCUGGGCAUGGGGCCAGGUGAGGUGGCUCACACCUAUAAUCCCAACACUUUGGGGGGCCAAGCGGGUGGACCACAUGAGGUCAGGAGUUUGAGACCAGCCUGGCCAACAUGGUGAAGCCCCGUCUCUGCUAAAAAUACAAAAAUUAGUUGGGUGUGGUGGCAUGCUCCUGUAAUAGCAACUGCACUCCAGCCUGGGCGACAGAGCAAGACUCCAUCUCAAAAAAAAAAAAAAAAAAAAGUCUGGGCAUGGUCUUGCAGAGGAGUUGUCAUGCCCACCUUUGUGCUGGAUCUUUUCCGCUGCACACUGUAGAUUUGUGCUAACAGUCAACUCAAAAGAGAGUCCUUUCUAUAUAAACUACAGUCGGUAUAUCUCAUUGUGCACUUGCACUGUUGAUAGUUUUUAACCCAGGCACUGAACUUCUGUGUAUACUUGAAUGUUCUCAUGCUCUAGACCCAUGUUUAGGGUCUGUUCUAGUCUUUUGAGAUCUUCAUUUUCAAAUACUUUAGCUAUAUGUCCCAGCUUCAGGUUACAUACAAAUUUGAUAAGCAUGACUUCUAUGUCUCUAUCCAGUAGAACUUCUAGACACUCAUUCCAGAUUGAAAAUAACCAAUCAAAUGUAUUUAAUUGUUCAACUAUUAUAAAAAUCAACUUGACUACAGUGUCCAAAAUCAGUAAAGUGAAAAUCUUAUAAGGCACUCCCUGCCUCCUUAUCUUCUAUAAUACUUUAUUACACAGUGUUGAAACAGAUCAUUUUUCUUUUGGUUGAGUGCCUGAUGUAGUCAGCUUGAUCUAAGGGUCAUGUUAUAUGAAAACAUCCAUUUAUGUACCAAAAUCAGAACUGGCACAGUCAGAUGCUUUCACUGAGACACCAAUGAGAACUAAGGCCGUUCAACCAAGUCACAUCUGUCAUCUCUUAUUCUGGGGCACAUACUUGUUGAGUAGAAUGAUGAGAAUUGCCUGCAUUAUUUAAGUUGUCAUAUAAAGUCACUUAAGAUGAUUAGGCAGACAUUAGUCUACCACCCGCCUUUCUCUACUUUGUCCAUAAGAAGUUAAUGAGAGGACUGGCCAGGCGUGGUGGCUUAUGCCUGUAAUCCCAGCACAUUGGGAGGCCACGGCGGGUGGAUCACCUGAGGUCAGGAGUUCAAAACCAGCCUGGCCAACAUGGUGAAACCCCAUCUCUACUAAAAAUACAAAAAUUAGGCAGGCAUGGUGGCAGGUGCCUGUAAUCCCAGCUACUCAAGAGGCAGAGGCAGGGAGAAUGGCUUGAACCCAGGAGGUGGAGGUUGCAGUGAGCCAAGAUUGUGACACUGCACCCCAACCUGGGCGACAGAGUGAGACUACGUCUCAAAAAAAAAAAAAAUGGCUGGGCGCAGUGGUUCACGCCUGUAAUCCCAGCACUGUGGGAGGCCAAGGCAGGCAGAGCAUGAGGUCAAGAGUUCGAGACCAGCCUGACCAACAUGGUGAAACCCCGUCUCUACUAAAAAUACAAAAAUUAGCCAGGCAUGAUGGCGCGCGCCUAUAAUCCCAGCUACUGGGGAGGCUGGGGCAGGAGAAUCGCUUGAAUCCGGGAGGCAGAGGUUGCAGUGAGCCGAGAUCGCACCACUGCACUCCAGCCUAGGUGACAGGGCGAGACUCCAUCUCAAAAAAAAAGAGGAAGAUUCAGAGACAUUGUCCGUAACAGGCUCCAAAUCCACACUCUAGUGCUCUUUUCACAGAAAUGCAUCCACUUUGGCAUGGCUUGUGUUACUGAACACACACCAGCACCUAGUGACCACCACUUUUUCUACAUGCCCAUGAACUAUAACUUCAAUAUCUGAGAAUUUGUCAAACUUAACACAAUGUCUUUUCCAGAAUCUGCCUUCCCUGUACACCGCACGAUUAUAAGCAUUCUUUAGACGGCCGAGGGUUAAAAAUCCAACUCACUAUUUUAUGCUUAUAAAAAAGGGACUUAUAGGGAAUAGACUCCAAAUUUAGAACAGCUUGAUCCAGGUGCUCAAAGUCACUGAGAAUCUCUCUCCACCUCUUAGCUCUGCCUCUUUCCUUUUUUAUUUAUUUAUUUAUUUUGAGUUUCCCUCUUGUUGCCCAAGCUGGAGUGCAAUGGCACGAUCUCAGCUCACUGCAACCUCCGCCUCCGGGGUUCAAGUGACUCUCCUGCCUCAGCAUUCCAAGUAGCUGGGAUUACAGGUGUGCACCACUACACCCAGCUAAUUUUUUUUAUUUUUAGUAGAAAUGGGGUUUCACCAUGUUAGCCACGCUGGUCUUGAACUCCUGACUUCAAGUGAUCCACCCACCUCGGCCUCCAAAAGUGCUGGGAUUACAGGCAUGAGCCACUGCGCCUGGCCUCCUUUUGGUUUUUGUUUUGUUUUGUUUUGUUGUUUUUUUUGUUUUGUUUUGUUUUGAGACAGAGUCUUGCUCUGUCGCCCAGGUUGGAGUGCAGUGGCGCGAUCUCGGCUUAUGCAACCUCCACCUCCUGGGUUCAAGCGAUUCUCCUGCCUCAGCCUCCUGAGCAGCUGGGAUUAUAGGUAUGCAUCACCAUGCCCAGCUAAUUUUUGUAUUUUUAGUAGAGACGGGGUUUCACCAUGUUGGCCAGGCUGGUGAUGAACUCCUGACCUCAGGUGACUCGCCCACCUCAGCCUCCCAAAGUGCUGGGAUUACAGGUGUGAGCCACCGCGCCCAGCUUUUCCUUUGCUUUUUACUCUCAGGCAGUCUCUCUCCAGGUGGUGGCAGACAUGGUUCCAGCAUCUCCAGUUUCUAAUUCUCCAGUUUAGUGCUUUUGGAGCACUAAGCUGGAGAGAAAGGCCUAAGAUUUUCUCUGGGAUUUGUGCACACCCCUGGAAGCAAAGACUAUGGUCAGUGCCAUCUGAACUGCACGAACUGAGAGGGAAAGAAGUAGUUCCCUACAGUGGUGGUUUUCACACGCAUGCCUCAGCAUCACCUGGAGGGCUUCUGAAAACACCUUUUGCUGGGGCCUACCUCCAGAAUGCUCAAUUCAGUAGGUCUGGGGUGGACCCAAGAAUUUGCAUUUCUGAGUUCCCCGGUGAUGUUGAUGCUGCUAGUUCAGGACACACAUGCUGGAAAACAAAGCCUCAAAGGAAAAUCCUGCUGCUGUUAUCAGAAGAGCUGCAAAUGUUAGAUCUGCCAAACAACAAAUGUUCACUUCACUGAGGAAAGUCAAAGAUCUCACUGGUCUGGAGGAAGCAGAGGUAACUACCACAGGGCUGGGUGUGGUGGCUCACUCCUAUAAUCCCAGCACUUUGGGAGGCUGAGGUGGGCAGAUCAUUUGAGGCCAGGAGUUGAAAACCAGCUUGGUCAACAUAGCAAAACCCCAUCUCUACUAAAAAUACAAAAAUUAGUUGAGCGUGGUGGCGUGCGCCUAUAAUCACAGCUGCUCGGAUGGCUGAGUGAGGAGAAUUGCUUGAACCCGGGAGGCAGAGGUUGCAGUGAGCCGAGAUUACACCACUGCACUCCAGCCUGGGUGACAGAGCGAGACACUGCCUCAAAAAAAAAAAAAAAAAGAUGCAACUAGCACACAAUACUGAAAACCCUGUUUGGAGAUGCCCUACAUUCUUCCACUGUAGUUUGCAGUGUCGUCUGCUACACAUCCACCAAGACGUCUCCUCCAAUUCCAAGCUCCUGACACAAUGACUCAUUAUCCCUUCCUUGGGACCUCUCCUCAGGCUGUUCCUUCUGCUUGGAUCUGCCUGGUGAACCUCUAUCACCCUUCAAGAUGAAGGCUCAAAUUCCAUCUCAUCUUGGAAGUCUUGCAUGAUAGCAGCCUUCUCCAACACUUCCAUCAUCAGCGCCCCAGAAGUCUCAAAUUGCACUUUGUUUGUUUUAGACAAGGUCUCACUCUGUCACCCAGGCUGGAGUGUAGUGGCACGAUCUCGGCUCACUGCAACCUCCACCUCCCAAGUUCAAGUGAUUCUCCCGCCUCAGCCUCCUGAGUAGCUGGGAUUACAGGUGUGCACUAACAUGCCUGGCUAGUUUUUGUAUUUUUAGUAGAGACGGGGUUUCACCAUGUUGGCCAGGCUGGUCUUGAACUUCUGACCUCAAGUGAUUCGCCCACCUCAGCCUCCCAAAGUGCUGGGAUUACAGGUCUGAGCCACCUGUGCCUGGCCUCAAACAGCACUUUAUAUCACUCGAGUAUAGUAACCUGGGUUUUCCUUCCCCUUCUCUGGUUGGUCGUUUUCAACCUCCUUUUCUGUGCCUCCCCCUCUUCUACUUAACUUUAUUCUUUUUCUUUUUGAGACGGGGUCUCGCUCUUUUGCCCUAGAGUACAGUGGCACCAUCAUGGCUCACUGCAAUCUCAACCUCUCAGGAUCAAGCGAUCCUCCCACCUCAGCCUCCCGAGUAGCUGGGACUACAGGCAUGUGCCACCAUACCCUGCUAAAUUGUUUUAUUUUUUGUAGAGAUGGGGGGUCUUGCCAUGUUGCCCAGACUGGUCUUGAACUCCUCCUGGGCUUAAGCGAUCUUCCCACCUCGGCCUCCCAAAGUGCUGGGAUUAUAGAUGUGAGCCACUGUGUCCAGACUCUUCUACUUAACUUUAAACCUGGAGUGUCCCAGGGCUUAGGACCCGGCAGUCUUCCUAUCUGUAAUCUUUCCUUAGUCCCACUGCUUUAAACUCCACCUACAUAAUGGGUUUGUUUGUUUGUUUUUUUGUUUGAGACAGGGUCUCACUCUGUCACCCAGGCUGGAGUGCAGUGGCGCGAUCUCGGCUCACUGCAACCUCACCUCCUGUGUUCAAGCUAUUCUCCUGCCUCAGCCUCACAAGUAGCUGGGAUUACAGGCAUGCUCCACCACGCCUGACUAAAUUUUGUAUUUUUUGGUAGAGACGGGAUUUCACUGUGUUGGCCAGGCUGGUCUUGAACGCAUGACCUCAAAUGAUCCACCUGCCUCGGCCUCCCAAAGUGCUGUGAUUACAAGCGUGAGCCACCGUGCCGGCCCACCUACAUAUUGUUGACUACACAUUUGUAUGUCCAGAUGCAUAUACUCAGCUGCUGAUCUGACAUCUCCACUUGACUGGGUCAUGGACUCGCAUUUGAGAGUGACAGAAGGAGGGCCAGGAAUAAUACAGAGUCCUUUGAAAAUUUAGAGCCAAGAAGAGCAGCAUCUUGGGCAGAAGGAAUAGCAAAUGGGCAAAUGCACAUAUGAGUAAUACUCCUUCCUUCAUGGCACUUAAUCACCCUAAGUCACUUGUUUAUUGUCUGUCCUCUUCCACCAGACUAUAAACUCCAGGAGAAUGGAAAUUGUCAGAGGCAUGUGAACCAGAGCAACUCCAUCUUGAAUAGGAGCUGGGUAAAAUGAGGCUGAGACCUACUGGGCUGCAUUCCCAGAUGGCUAAGACAUUCUAGGUCACAGGAUGAGAUAGGAGAUUGGCACAAGCUACAGGUCAUAAAGACCUUGCUGAUAAAACAGGUUGCAGUAAAGAAGUGGCCAAAACCCACCAAAUCUAGGAUGGCGAUGAGAGUGACCUCUGGUCGUCCUCGCUGCUAUACUCCCACCAGCGCCACGACAGUUUACAAAUGCCAUGACGUCAGGAAGUUACCCCAUAUGGUCUAAAAAGGAGAGGCAUGAAUAAUCCACCCCUUGUUUAGCAUAUCAUCAAGAAAUAACCAUAAAAAUGGGCAAUCAGCAGCCCUCAGGGCUGCUCUGUCUAUGGAGCAGCCAUUCUUUUAUUCCUUUACUUUCCUAAUAAAGUUGCUUUCACUUUACUCUGUGGACUCGACCUGAAUUCUAUUACUCUUUUGGGGUCUGGAUUGGGACCCUUUCCUGUAAUAGAAUCAUAUGCACUUAGAAGGCAUGCAAUCAAAACUUCUUGAAUAAAUGCAUGAUAAUUAUUUGCAAUGAGGACCUUGAGUCCUUCCUUAUCUAUUUUGUGCCCCCAGCGACCAGUGUAGUGCCAGGCACAUAGCAGAUGCUCAGUGAAUAUCUACCAAAUUAAUUAGUGAAGACCUUUGCUUCCUUUGCAAUUACUGCUCUGAAGAAAAAAAAAAAUCUUGCCAUCUUAAAAAAAAGAAAGAAAAGAAACCCAUAUAGCAGUGCCAAACAAAGUACUGUGGAAUGGUUCUCAAAACCAUAGCUCCCUGAUGGGAUAAUGUAGUUUAAAUAUAGCAGCUAUUUUUCCCUCUAGUUGGUUUGUUCUUUGAUUUUUGUGGAAAGAUUUCAAAAGUUCUCCUCCAUUGCCCUCCUUCCUCACCCCCCAAGGUGCUUAGACUUUAAAUGGUGAAAUACUUAAAAUGCAGAGAUGGCCUGGCCUCCUGAGCCUGGUAGAAGAAAGAAGAGUGAUUAAAUGCAAUUUUAAUUUUAUAGGAUGAGUUCUCUGAUUCUCCCUUCCCUGCCGGGUGCCAGGGUGUUGCUCUCACAGUAGUGGUAGCAGCCCCAAGCAGGUUGGGUUUCAGUCUGGCAGAAAUCCAAGGACAGUGCACACAGCAGAUAGGGUUGCUGUGGACAAAUUCCUAGAAUAGGAUCUUUGUUCCCAAGCUGACCAGCUUGCUCCCUUGAUGUCCCACAAUAGAAAAAAAAAGGGGGGGGGGUGUUGGUGGAGGCAUGUUUAGGUCUCCCAUUGUGAUCCUGCUGUAGUUACCUGAUAGUUCACAAAAGAUCCCAGGAGGUUGGCAGCCCUCCCAAGUUACCUUGUGAUUCUCUCCUGAUUUCAAAUAGGGGGAGGGAGGAGGACACCAUGUAUCCUAAGAGAAGCUUGUCUGACAUGCCUGAUCCGUUCCAUCUGGGAAGAUGCAUCAUGAACCCCAUCUGGCUCCAGCAGUCUGGCUAAGGCUGAGGCUGAGGCAGCCGUGGGCUCCCAGCACACCCCCACUAGCUCCAUCCCUCUCAAGCCCGCUUAUCCUUCAUCUUCCCCUGAAAGAAACAGAUCACAGCUUCUGUCAUUUGCAAGACCUCCCCUGACUCCCUAUGCCCUGGCCUUUUCUGCAAUCGCCUCUGCUUCUUCUCCAACUGUGGCUUCUCUGAUCUCCCAGCCCUCUGCAGAUGCCGUGUUGAUUGGAGGCCCUCUGCAGAUGGCAGGGCCCCUGUGAAAAUCCAGUUCUUUCACCUGAUCCUCCUGCACCACCCAGAGUAUGUCCUGAUUUGGGAGACAGAUACACCUAUUAUAAGGUCCUGUCCCGUGUCUUGCAAGCUGGAGUCUAGAGGUACUGGACAAUCGUUCCCGUUCUGUUAGCUGCUUCCCAUCUCAACCAGUAGAGCCAUGGCCUCUUUGGCCUUCAACCUUAACAUUUAAAUCUUCUCACGGGGGUCCAAUCUGCAUGGAUGGGGGAUGGGAGGAGUCUAAGAAAGCAGAGGCUUGGCUGGAGACGUUUGCAAACAUUAGACGUUUCUCUUCCAUGACUCAUCGGAGGAGAGCAGUCCUCCCUCUUCCUGGAAUGCAGCAAACCCAUGGCCAACUCCUACCCCCACCCCAUCCCCAAAAUAAAACAACCCACACCUAGAGCUCUGUCCUCAGAAAUCAGAUUUCCCUCAAACAUCUGACAUGGCAACUUGGGGGCAGGGAGCAUUCUGAGACCACAGAACAGCCUCUAAGAGGAUUCUCUGACCUGAGGGGAGAGAGGGGGCUGCAGUCAUAGCACAUGUAUCAUUAGGAUGGGUCUUUUCCAGAAAGCGCCUUCACCUUCCUGUCCUCCCCCAACCGUUCUUCUUAGUAGCCUCCCAGUAUAAAACUAGGGGUAGACAACCGACCAUUCCAGCAAGGCUUGAUUUCAUUGGUACAUAAAAGGGUUCUAGAAAAAAAAUAGGCUGGUGCAGAUAAAAAGGAAGGAAGGAGGCAGGGUGCGGUGGAUUAUACCUGUAAUCCCAGCACUUUGGGAGACUGAGGCGGGCGGAUCACCUGAGGUAAAGUGCAGUUUGAGACCAGCCUGGUCAACAUGGUGAAAUCCAUGUCUACUGAAAAUACAAAAAUUAACUGGGCAUGGUGGCAUGCGCCUGUAAUCCCAGCUACUUGGGAGGCUGAGGCAGGAGAAUCCCUUAAACUCGGGAGGCGGAGGUUGCAGUGAGCAGAGAUCAUGCCACUGCACUCCAGGCUGGGUGACAGAGACUCUGCCUCAAAAAAAAAAAAAAGGAAGGAAGGAGGCCGGGUGUGGUGGCUCACACCUGUAAUCCCAGCACUUUGGGAGGCUGAGGUGGGCGGAUCACUUGAGAUCAGGACUUUGAGAUGAGAGUGGCCAACAUGGUGAAACCCUCUCUCUACUAAAAAUACAAAAAUUAGCUGGGUGUGGUGGCGCUCACCUGUAGUCCCAGUUUCUUGGGGGGCUGAGGCAGGAGAAUUGCUUGAGCCCGGGAGGUGGAGGUGGCAAUAAGCUGAGAUUGCUCCACUGCACUCCAACCUGGGUGACACAACGAGACUCGGUCUCAAAAAAUAAAAAUAAAUAAAUAAAUAAAUCAAAAGAAGGAAGGGACAAAAAGGAAGACACCAUUUAAUAGACAUGCAUUUGCCAUGCAUGCAAUGUGCUGGGACCUUUUCACAUGUUGUCUUAGUGCAUCCUUAGGACAAGCCUGUCUGGUACGUAUCAUUAUCAUUCCUAUUUUUCCAGGUACUGAAAGUUGAUUCUCAGAGAGGUUAAGUCACACAAAUUAGAAAUCACUAUUCAAUAAACAUCUUUGGGAAUAGAAGAUUAUUUGUAGGGAGAAGAAUUAGCUUGGAUCUAUUUCUAACACCAUGAAAUGCAAUCCGGCUGGGCGCUGUGGCUCAUGCCUGUAAUCCCAGAACUUUGGGAGGCUGAGGUGGGUGGAUCACCUGAGGUCAGGAAUUUGAGACCAGCCUGGCCAACAUAGUGAAGCCCCGUCUCUACUAAAAAUACAAAAAACUAGCCAGGCAGGCAUGGUGGCAGGUGCCUGUAGAGGCAGGAGAAUCGCUUGAACCCGGGAGGCAGAGGUUGCAGUGAGCUGAGAUCGCACCACUGCUUGGGCAGCAAGAGUGAAACUCUGUCUCAAAAAAGAAAAGAAAAGAAAUGCAAUACAUUUCAUAUUGGAAAGAGUGUUAAACAUUUUUUUAAAAGUCUGUAAAACAAUGAAAAGAAGCAACAAAACUAUAUAGGUGUGGAGGUCAAAGUGGGUGGAUCACUUGAGGUCAGGAGUUUGAGACCAGCCUGGCCAACAUGGCGAAACCCUGUCUCUACUAAAAAUACAAAAAUUAGCGGGGCUUGGUGGCACAUGCCCAUAAUCCCAGCUACUUGGGAGGCUGAGGCAGGAGAAUCAUUUGAACCCGGGAGGUGGAGGUUGCAGUGAGCCGAGAUCACGGCACUACACUCCAGCCUGGGUGACAGAGCAAGACUCCAUUUCAAAAAAAAAAAAAAGUAGAUAGGUGAGGAGGGGAGAGAAAACUUCUAAGUACUUCAGGUAUAGAAACACUUUAAAUUUGCAUAAUAAAAUGUUAUAAAACAAAUGGAGGGAAUGUAUGCAUGGGGUUUUAGAAAGAAACUAGACGACUCCUGGAAAACCUUUUAAUGCUAGGAAUCUGUGAUUCUCUGACUGCGCAGAAGCACUCAGAGACCCACAAAGAUUUUUAUUAUAGCAAAUAUCUCCUCAACUGGUUCUUGGACCAGUUUAAUUUCCUGAUCCCAGAUCUGUCCCUACUCCCCGCUGUGGCAAGGGGAGAGAGGAUCAUUCUGAGUCACGAAAUGCAGCCCUGUCCAGGGUGGGGAAGGGACAGCUGCUUAAUUUGCAGCACAUGUUGCUGAGAAAAGUGGUAAAGCAGAGUUCCCCUUCCACUGAAAGCUGCACAAGGAGGCUUCCGCCAGCUGAAUGCAGUGACCUGAGCUGGAAUUCUGCCAGGACAGUGGGAUUAACUUCCCAAGUGCUGGCCAAAAAGGGCCCCGGGAUUUUUAUUUUUAUUCAUUUUCCAUUACAACUGCACAGCAACGCAAACAAGCCCCACAACAAUGUGAGCCACCAAGAGUCAUUUUCCUUUGCUGGGUGCCAUGUCAAUACCACACAUCUUGCUGACCUCAUUUUACCGAAGUUUUAAGAUGGGGAGCUUGAUUACUUACUUCCCUGCUGACGAUAAUGGGAGAAAGGCAUUGUGAUUGCCCAAUUAAAGCUGUAUGCUUUAAAGGCGAAAUAAAGCAACACAUGCACACGGAGUCCACUGUACCCAGGGAUAAUAAUUUAAUGGGAAGUCAGUGGAAAUCCAAGAAAAUAUAGGUCUAGCUCCCCAAGUCCCCUAAGAUCAGGGGCCCAGAGGCACAGGGAUUGGAGGAGAUCUGACCACAGGCAAUUAAAUGUCAAUUAAAAAGGGGGUCCAGUGGGGAGGGAAGGUAAAGGGCUUAGUGCAUUAGAACCAGGCUCCAGGCUAAUGAGACUCCUCAGAGAGGGCUUUGCACAUGUUAGACAGGGGGUGUGUUUUAACUUGUGAUUUGCCCUGUUUUUCCAGUCACAUGAUUCAAUAUUAUCACAGUCUUCAAAACAUCACCUUUUGGAAAACGUGGAGAGACAAAUUCAGAGAAUUGCAGGCACCAGGUAAUACUGUAUGCUCUUAGGCAAGCUACUUAAUCUGUGUCCCUAUUUCCUCAAUUAUAAAGAGUGGAUAAUUGAAUCUACCUCAUGUAGUUUUCGUGUGAGUUACAUGAGAGACUGUGCAUGUGAUGUGCCUUGCACGUGGCUGGCAGCACUAGUAGAGAGACAUUGCAGGCACCUUCAUCUUAGGCUGAUCUUAAGGCCCAGCCCUCCUAAAACGUAAACCAUUUGAUUUAAUCUUGUAACAACAAACAUAUCCAUUAACGUUAUGGAAGAUACAGAGACAUUAUUGAAGGUAUAGAGGCUUCAAAUUCCCGCCACCCCCGUUUUUAAAACUAAGACACAUUUCAGGCACAGAAAAAAGUACAAUAAUAAUAUAAUAAACACUCAUCUAUGCACCAUUUAGAAAUAAAACAUUAUUGUUAGAACUGAAGUUCCUUGUAUGUUCCUUGAAACUCAUUCUCGACCUUUCUUUCCCAGUGGUAACCUCUAUCCUGAACUUGGGGUUUAUCAUUCUCAUGCAUAUUCUUGUAUUUUUACUAUAGAUAAGUAUAUCCACAAACAACAAUGGGCUAGGCGUGGUGACUCACACCUGUAAUCCCAGCACUUUGGGAGGCCGAGGUGGGUGGAUCACACGAGGUCAGCAGUUCGAGACCAGCCUGGCCAACAUGGUGAGACCCCAUCUCUACCAAAAAAAAUCAAAAAUUAGCUAAGUGUGGUGGCGCUUGCAUGUAAUCUCAGCUAGUCGGAAGACUGAGGCAGAAUUGCUUGAAUCUGGGAGGUGGAGGUUGCAGUGAGCCGAGAUAGUGCCACUGCACUCCAGCCUGGGCGACAGAGCGAGAGUCUGUCUCAAAACAAACAAAAACAAAACAAAACAAUGCAAACUGUAUUAUCUGGUAUUUUUCAUAGUUUACACAAAACUUACAAAUUUUGUACAUAUCCGGCAUUUUGUUUUGUUUUACUCACUAUUAUGUUUUUUAAAAUUUUUAUUUAUUUAUUUAUUUAUUUAUUUAUUUAUUUAUUUAUCUUUUUGAGACAGAGUCUUCUCUAUCACCCAUGAGCAAUCUCUGUUCACUGCAACCUCUGCCCCUCAGGCUCAAGCAAUCGCCUCAGCCUCCCGAGUAGCUGGGAUUACAGGCAUGCCCCACCACAUCCGGCUAAUUUUUGCAUUUUUUUGUAGAGAUGGGGCUUCUCCAUGUUGCUCAGGCUGGUCUCGAACUCCUGAGCUCAAGUGAUCUGCCUUCUUCGACCUCCCAGAUUACUGGGAUUACAGGCGUGAGCCACUGCGCCUGGCCUGGGGUUUUUUUUUUUUUUGUAGGUUUAUUCAUAUAAAGCUAAAAAUACAAGUGUAGAUACAUGUAACUCUAGUGACUUCCAUUUUCUUGCUUUAUAGUUACAUAUAUAUUUAAAAUAAACAAGUAAAAGGACAGAGAAAAAGCUGAAAUUCUCAUUGUUUCCUUCCCUCUGCAGUCUGUCUUUUAACUAGUUUACAAUGUUUCCCAGAGAAAAUCAAAGAUGAAAUUUCACUUUAUCUUUCUUCUCCAAAAGACUCAGCUUUGUUUUUUUUCCCCGUUUCCAAAAUGGAUAAAGCUUCUUUUAUGGCUGUUAAAUUUUAUGCUACAGGUACCUGUAAAUUGCCUGUCUGCUCUGCACUGUGGAGAAUUUAUCUUUACAUGAUAAUCAGGUCCCAGGCUCUCUUUCCUACCAUGAAGGCUGUUCCCAUGUUGAAGACAGUGAAGGCUGGCAUUGCCAUGGGGUCUGGCACUGCAGGGAUACUGGCUGAUGACCAUUUCUCAAUUGUCAGUUUUUUUGGUUUUGUUUUGAAACAGGGUCUUGCUCUGUCACCCAGUCUGGAGUGCAGUGGCGUGAUCAUGGCUCACUGCAGCCUCGAACUCCGGGGCUCAAGCAAUUGUUUCACCUCAGCCUCCUGAGUAGCUGGGACCACAGAUGCACAGCACCAUGCCCAGCUAAAUUUUUAAAAUAUUUUGUAGAAUGGCAGCGUUGUGGGGAGGGGGUCUCUCUAUAUUGCCCAGGCUGGUCUUGAACUCUUGCGCUCAAGUGAUCCUCCCAUCUUGGCCUCUCAAGGUGCUGGAAUUACAGAUUUGAGUCAUCAUGCCUGGCCUCAACUGCCAGACUUUUUUUUUUUUUUUGAGAUGGAGUCUCACUGUGUCACCCAGGCUGGAGUGCAGUGGCGCGAUCUCGGCUCACUGAAACCUCCACCUCCCGCGUUCAAGCGAGUCUCCUGCCUCAGCCUCCCAAGUAGCUGGGAUUACAGGCGUGCAACACCACACCUGGCUAAUUUUUGUGUUUUUAGUAGGGACGAGGUUUCAUGUUGGCCAGGCUGGUCUUGAACUCCUGACCUCAGGUGAUCUGCCCGCCUCGCCUUCCCAAAGCACUGAGAUUACAGGCAUGAGCCACAGCACCUGGCCAAUUGUCAGACUUUUGAUAGAGCUUUAAUAUUAAAAGAGAAUUGAGUAAAACCUGCAGGUCAGCAGAAAUUUUUCACUCAGCCACUCCUCUUCCCGAAACCCCAUUUGGAGUAUUUCUGUUACCUUAAAGAUAGAAUGGUAUGAAUGCCCAGACAUUCAUACUACCUUUCCUUUUUUUUUUUUUUUGAGACCGAGUCUCACUCUGACGCCCAGGAUGGAGUGCCGUGGUGCAAUCUCAGCUCACUGCAACCUCCGCCUCCCAGGUUCAAGCAAUUCUCCUGCCUCAGCCUCCCAAGUAGCUGGGAUUACAGGCACCGCCACCAAGCCCACCUAAUUUUUGUAUUUUUAGUAGAGACGGGGUUUCACCAUGUUGGCCAGGCUGGUCUCGAACUCCUGACCUCAAGUGAUCUGCCCGCCUCGGCCUCCCAAAGUGCUGGGAUUACAGGCGUGAGCCACUGCAGCCGGUCAAUUGUCAGACUUUUGAUAGAGCUUUAAUAUUAAAAGAGAAUUUAGUAAAACCUGCAGGUCAGCAGAAAUUUUUCACUCAGCCACCCCUCUCCCAGAUUCCCCAUUUAAAAUAUUUCUGUUAUCUUAAAGAUAGAAUGAUGUGAGUGCCCAGACAUCUACAUAUCACCUUUCCUUUUGGUUUUUGCUCUGAGCUACCUCAAUCAUUCUAAAGCUUUAAGUUUGCUUGGGAAUUACUGUAUAGGGCUGCGGUUCACACUAGAUCAUGUAUGUUGUAUUUUGUUGGCAAUUUAAGGUACUUUCAAAGGUUGUUUGACUACAGUUAAUUUUCACCUUACUCAUAUAUGAUGUAAUUCCUUUGGAAUAAGUUUUCAGUAAAUACUAGUUACUAAUUUUGUCAUUAUUAUUGGAGAGUUGAAGUGCAUAACUGAUUUGCAAAAGUUCUGAAGAACAAAAUCCGUUUGGGGUAUCAUGGAAAAUGGCCAAUAUGUGUGAAGAUGGUGCUUCGAGAUUUUCAGAUAAUCUGUUCCAGGUGGACCAGGUGGACUGGUGAGGUUUGGCAGGGGAGCCUGCCGAGCCACGCAUGUGGGGUACACCUGCACAACAAACAGGGUUCCACCCCAAGAUUCAUUACCGAGCCAGCCCUUGGCACAUGUGUAAUUCGAUUCACCUCCUUUUUUCUUUUGUGGUCAAAAACGUAGCAUAAAAUUUACUAUCUUAACCAUGUUUAAGUGUACAGUAGUACAGUAGUGUUAACUAUACGCACCUUGCGCAACUGAUCUCUGGAACUUUUCCAUCUUGCAAAAUUGAAACUGUAUAUCCAUUGAACAACUCCCCAUUGCCCCCUCCCUUGGUUCCCUGGCAACCACCAUACUACUUUGUUUCUAAGAGUCUGACUACUUUACAUACCUUACAUAAGUGGAAUCAUGCAGUAUCUGUAUUUGUUCUUUUGUGAUUAUCUUACUUCACUUAGCCAAAUGUCCUUAAGGUUUAUCCAUGUUUUAGCAGAUGACAGGAUUUCUUUCUUUUAGGAUGAAUAGUAAUUUUUUUUUUUUGAGACCGAGUCUCAGUCUGUCGCUCAGGCUGGAGUGCAGUGGUGCAAUUAUAGCUCACUGCUGCCUUGACCUCCUAGGCUCAAGCGAUCUUAUCGAAGCCUCUCACCUCCUGGGCUCAAGCGAUCUUCUUAUCGAAGCCUCUCAAGUAGCUGGGACUAAAGGCAUGCGCCAUCAUGCCCAGCUAAUUUUUAAAAAUUUUGUGUAGAGACAGGGUCUCACUAUGUUACCCAGGCAGGUCUUGAAUUCCUGGGCUCAAGCGAUCCUCCUGCCUCGGCUUCCCAAAGUGCUGGGAUUACAGAUGUGAGCCACCUGUGCUUGGCCAUUAUUUUUCACUUCCUAAAAUUGGGAAGCAUUGCUACUUGUUAUUUUCCUCCUCUUUCUUCCAAGGAGGGAGAUGUAACUGUCAGAAGGAGUCUAUCGACCUCAUUCUGUCAUUCUGUUCUUGAGGCCACUGAAGGGCAUAAAACCGGCUCUUAGAGGCCCAAGUGCAUGGAAUCUAAACCUUUGGUGGAAACUUCUCAGUGCUCCUGCUCCUCAGGGUUACCUGCUCUAAGCAUUUAAUAUCACUGAGCUUUAAAAGGGAAAGGCCCCAAGUCAUGCAGGAUUCAAUUUCCAAGUCACAGAAGGAUGAGUGCUUGCUCAGAUCUUCCCUCUAUGCCCCAUGAAAGACCAGAAAGUUUCAGUCUUUUCUUUUUUCUUCUUUUUUGAGACAGGGCCUUGCUCUGUCACCUCAGGCUGGAGUGCUGUGGUACGAUCUCGCUCAUUGCAACCUCCACCUCCCAGGCUCAAGAGAUACUCCCACCUCAGCCUCCCAAGUAAACAAAAAAUAUGAGAACCUAGCCAGGUGUGGUAGUGGACACCUGUGGUCCCAGCUACUCAGAAGGUUGAGGUGAGAGGAUGGCUUGAGCCCAGGAGGUCAAGGCUGCAGUGAGCCGUGCACUCUAGCCUGGGCGACAGAGUGACACCCUGUCUCAAAAAAAGAAAUAAAGAAACAUGGUCAGGCUGGAACCUGUAUCAAUUAUAUCAAUUAACUAACCUAUCUUGAAUUAGCCUUGGAAAAAUGAGGUGUCAUCCCUAAAGGGGGUUCAUGAUGAACCUAAUUUUCCUCUCUGGAGCCUAAGGCUCUACCAAAAAGACACCCAGUUGGAUAAUUUGGGAAUAGGGAAAGAUAAUAGCAUCUGACUCCACAGGAAGGUAAUGACAAAUUUAUUGGGUCUUUUUUUGUCCUUAAUUUUCCCCCAUUUUGGUUUAUCGUGUACACAGCCUGCCAAUUUUUUUUUUUUUUUUUUUGAGACGGAGUUUCGCUCUUGUUGCCCAGGCUGGAGUGCAUUGGCGCUAUCUCCGGCUCACCGCAACCUCCGCCUCCUGGGUUCAAGCAAUUCUCCUGCCUCAGCCUCCCGAGCAGCUGGGAUUACAGACAUGUGCCACCACACCUGGCUAAUUUUGUAUUUUUAGUAGAGACAGGGUUUCUCCAUGUUGGUCAGGGUGGUCUCGAACUCCCAACCUCAGGUGAUCUGCCCACCUCGGCCUCCCAUUGCACCUGGCUUUUUUUUUUUUUUUUUUUUUUUUUUUUGAGACUGUGUCUCACUCUGUCGUCCAGGCUGGAGUGCAGUGGCGCGAUCUCGGCUCACUGCAAGCUCCACCUCCUGGGUUCACACCAUUCUCCUGCCUCAGCCUCUCAAGUCGCUGGGACUACAGGCGCCCGCCACCGCACCCGGCUAAUUUUUUUUUGUAUUUUUAGUAGAGACGGGGUUUCACUGUGUUAGCCAGGAUGGUCUUCAUCUCCUGACCUCGUGAUCCACCUGCCUCGGCCUCCUAAAGUGCUGGGAUUAUAGGCGUGAGCCACCGCGCCCGGUCUUAAUUUUUUAAAAUAGCUUUUAUUAUAGAAAUCCUCAAACAUAACAAAAGUGGAGAAAAAUAGUAUAAUAAACCCUUAUUUACUAUGAUCUGGCUUCAGCAGUUAUGAGCAUUUCUGCUGUCAUCCCACAUCAUCCCUCAUGACUGUAACUGGGCUUUCUAAGUUUGUUUCCCUGUGUGUCCUUGCCACAUGAUUUUGGCUGUAUCCAAGUGUUAUCUUUCUGUUAUUUAUACACCUAUUUUAUAUAUAUAUAUAUAUAUAUAUAUAUUUUUUUUUUUUUUUUUUUUUUUUUUUUUUUUGAGACUGGAUCUUGCUCUGUUGCUCAGGCUGGAGUGCAGUGGUGCAAUCAUGGCUCACUGUAGCCUCUACCUCCUGGGCUCAAGCAAUCCUCCCACCUCAGCCUCCCAAGUAGCUGGGACUACAGAUGCACACCACCACACCUGGCUAAUUUUUGCUAAUUUUUCAUAGAGACAGGGUCUUGCCAAGUUGUUCAGGCUGGUCUUGAACUCCUGGCCUCAAGUGAUCCUCCUGCCUUGGCCUCCCAAAGUGCUGGGAUUACAGGCAUGAGCCACCUUGCCCUGUCCUAAGUAAGUAUAUUUUAUUUAUUUGUAUAUAUUUUUUGAGACAGAGUCUUGCUCUGUCCCCAGGCUGGAAUGCAAUGGCAUGAUCUUGGCUCACUGCAACCUCCACCUCCCAGGUUCAAGCAAUUCUCCUGCCUCAGCCUUCUGGGUAGCUGGGAUUACAGGUGAGCACCACCACACCCAGCUAAUUUUUGUAUUUUUAGUAGAGACGAGGUUUCGACAUGUUGGCCAGGCUGGUCUCGAAUUCAUGACCUCGGGUGAUCCACCAGGCUCGGCCUCCCAAAGUAUUGGGAUUACAGGUGUGAGCCACCAUGCCCGGCCAUAAAUAUAUUUUAAAAGGAAAUAUUUAAUUAUGAAAAAAGAAAACCAGGAUUACUUGCCGUGUGUAGAAAAUUGUGAAAAUAAAUAAAUAAAUGCAUAAAUACGGUGAAAAUGUUCUUAUUUAUAAAUACUGCCCAAUGCUGGUGACUACCAGCUUCUCAUUUUGCUAAAAAAGGGAGGUUAUCUACAAGUUUAGAGAUGUUAAAAAAGUCAAGCCAGCACCAAACUGGGACUUUCUCUCAGUUAAUCAGAAGGGCUGAGAGAGGGUUUAAACAGGAGUUGUCUUUUCCUUUCUCAAAUCAGUGUUAUCUUAACACCAAGCUCCUGUAUCUCCAACAGUCACCGAGUGUGCCAUCUUCUCACAGACCUCUAGUAGCAGGAUUUCACAUUUUGGAAAACACUGUUGAUCCCAUUCUCGCUCUCCUCUGUCCUUUCUGAUUGGUACUUGUGAUGGUCGGUUUUGUGUGUCAACUUGGCUAAGCUAUAGUCUCCAGUUAUUCAAUCAAAUGCUACUCUAGUUGUUGCUGUGUAGGUAUUUUGUAGAUAUGAUUAACAUUCAUAAUCAGUUGAUGUUAGGCUGGGCACAGUGCCUCACACCUGUAAUCCCAGCACUUUGGGAGGCCGAGGCAGGAAGAUCGCUUGAGCCCAGGAGUUGGAGACCAACCUGAGCAACAUGGUGAAACCCCAUUUCUACAAAAAAUACAAGAAUUAGCCAGGUGUGGUGGUGCGCACCUGUAAUCCCAGCUACUCAGGAGGCUGAGGUGGAAGGAUCAUUUGAGGCCAGGAGAUUGAGGCUGCAGUGAGACAUGAUUGUGCCACUGCACUCCAGCCUAAGUGACAGGGCAAGACCUUGUCUAAAAAAAAAUAAUAAAAAGUUGACUUUAAGUUAAUGAUUUGAGAUGUCCUGGGUGGGCCUGAUUCAAUCAGUUAAAUGACUAUAAGAACAAGGCUGAGGCUUCCCCAAAGAAGAAAUUCCCCCUGUGAACGGCUGCUUCAGGUCCUGGCUGAGUUUCGAGUCUGCCCUUCCUAAUGGCCUGCCCCAAGGAUUUAGAAUUUUCCUAGCCAGCCCCUACAAUCACAUAAGCCAAUUCUUUGCAGUAAAUCUCUUGCCACAUAGCUCCAUCUCCUACUGGUUCUGUUUCUCUGGUGAAAGCCCUGCCUGGUGGGUACCCUAUGCACGUGUUCCGUAGCAGCUAGAACGAUCUGGCAAUUCCCAAAUGCGCCAGCUGCCUUCCCACCUCUGUGGUGUUGCCUGUUUCUCACCCCCUCGAGGGAAUAUCCGCUUCUGCGAGGCCACCAUUCAUGUCUUACAUCUUGCCUUCAAGGCUCACCUCAAGGGGUUGUCUCUGUGAAGCCUUCCUGGGGGCCUCGGGUCUGUUGUAGCCCACCUCUAAAUUCAACAGCACCGUGGGUGCUCACUCACGUGGCCUGCAGCCCACGUUUAUCUCGUUCUGACCCUGAAAGGGCUUCUACAUCUCUGUUUCUCUAAUCCUAGCUGCUUCUCUACCCGGCAAAUGUCCUUGGAUGCUUGUCUUUUUUUUUUUUUUUUUUUUGAGACGGAGUUUCACUCAUGUUGCCCAGGCUGGAGUGCAAUGGUGUAAUCUCGGAUCAGUGCAACCUCCACCUCCUGGGUUCAAGCAAUUCUCCUGCCUCAACCUCCUGAGUAGCUGAGAUUACAGGCAUGUGCCACCACGCCCAUCUAAUUUUUGUAUUUUUAGUAGAGAUGGGGUUUCACCAAGUUGAUCAGGCUGGUCUGGAACCCCUGACCUCGUGAUCCACGCGCCUCAGCUUCCCAAAGUGCUCGGAUUACAGGCGUGAGUCACCGCACCCGGCUGAUGCUUUGAGGCCACUGAAGCUCUGUCAGCAAAAGUGGAGGGCCACCUUUAGCUUCCUGCUGCACCUCAUCAUUCCUGUCCCUUCAAAUGGCCAACCUUCUCAUGGAGUGGAACACCCACCCCACCUUGGGCUGGGACAUCCCACAAGAAUGGAAGGGGGCCUCUUGAAAGGGGACUCAGUAGAGGACAGAGUUGAAAACACGAUCCUGCUGUAAGACACUCAGGAGUCAUGUCCAGGGGCUGAGGAAAGGUUCUCCUGUCCAUUCCUGAGGCUGGGCUUCCACCUUCUCCAUUUGCCCAACCUGCAGGGAGGAUUUGAAGUCCCCUCUGCCUCCACUCAGGGAAGACCUGAUAGAACUGAAUGUCCAGGCUGGGCGAGGUGGCUCAUGCCUGUAAUCCCAGCACUUUAGAAGGCUGAGGUGGGUGGAUCACCUGAGGCCAGGAGUUCAAGACCCGCCUAGCCAACAAUGUGAAACCUUGUGUCUACUAAAAAUACAAAAAUUAGCCAGGUGUGGUGCACGCCUGUAAUCCCAGCUACUUGGGAGGCUGAGGGACGAGAAUAGCUUGAACCCAAGAGGCGGAGGCUGCAGUGAGCUGAGAUCACACCACUGCAUUCCAGCCUGGGUGACAGAACUGAAUGUCCAGUAUGUGGGCCAAAGAUCCAAGAGAAAGAAAAAUCUUAAGUGGAGGAAGCAGGGAAACGGGAGCAAGUUUGGCCCUGGAGAGAGUCCCUAGAAGCGAGUUUGGCCCUGGAGAGAGUCCCUGGAGAGAAGCCUUACAGCUGGGGCCAGCAGUGAGGGUGCAGUGACUAACUGGCCAGCACCUGCUUCUCCUCAGCUCGGGGACUACACCUUCUGCCCUCUUGAUGCUCCAGGCACACAAAGGUGAUUGUGUAGCCUCCUAGAGAUGAAAGUGCAUUCCUCGCUGGCUCCAAGGACUCCAGGGCUCCUCAGUCAGGGGAGCCCAGUCAGAAGCUCAGCAGGGAAGGCCACGCCGCCUCUGCCACAAGCCUCACGGGAAAGCGAGUUUCUUCUUCUGGCCCCCGUCCCACUCUCACCUCCCUUGAGGAAAAAAGGAAUGUAAGUGUCCUGAGAAGAGAAAGCAGAGGGCAUGGGCCGGCUGGCUUGGUUUGGUACUUCCUGAAUAAAACUGUACUAUCUCCAGGACAGCUUGACAGUGCACAUUUGAGCUUCCGUUUAAGGGAAAUCUCAAUCUCUGACCUUUCCUCUGAGAUGGGGCAAUUCUGCAAGAGCCACACAGUGUGGUUGCGGGUGAGAGGGAGGAAGGAGGGGCCACAGGGACACAGUCCUCAUUAAGACUGAGGUUCUGCGGGAAAUGCUGAAUCUGAAAACAUUCUUCCCCUCCAUGAUGCACCCUUAAAGUAGCUUCAUCCAGACUGAAACUCAAGGCUGGGCAUGGUGGCUCAUCCCUGUAAUCCCAGCACUUUGGGAGGCCGAGGUGGGUGGAUCACCUGAGGUCAGGAGUUCAAGACCAGCCUGGCCAACAUGGCAAAAUCCCAUCUCUAGUAAAAAUACAAAAAUUAGCUGGGUGUGGUGGUGAGCACCUGUAGUCCCAGCUACUCGGGAGGCUGAGGCAGGAGAAUUGCUUGAACCUGGGAGGUGGAGGCUGCAGUGAGCCAAGAUUAUGCCACUGUACUCCAACCUGGGUGACAGGGCGAGACUCCAUCUCAAAAGAAAAAAAAACAAAGAAACUAAAAAUCAACACACACACACACACACACACACACACACACACAUAAGUGCUAACAGGAAUGAUGACACUGCUCUCUGUGAUAAUUAUUCAUGGAUUUACAACUGCCUAAUAGAUGCAUGAAAGAAAAAUUCAACCUCACUAGUAAUCAAGAAAAUGUAAAUCAACUCAAAGGGAUAGUAUUCCCACCUAUCAAACGGAAUUGUUUUUAAAGAGGGCCUUCUCUUCCGCCUGCUGGUGGGAUUGCAUGCUGGCUUUCUGGAAAGUCACUUGAUAACACGUAAUGAUACUUUAAAAAGAAUGACUCAGUAAUUUUGCUAUAGGAAUGAUUCUAAAGAAAUCACAAGCCGGGCGUGGUGGCUCAUGCCUGUAAUCCCAGCAUUUUGGGAGGCCGAGGCGGGUGGAUCACCUGAGGUCGGGAGUUCGAGACCAGCCUGACCAACAUGGAGAAACUCCAUCUCUACUAAAAAUACAAAAUUAGCUGGGUGUGGUGGCGCAUGCCUGUAAUCCCAGCUACUUGGGAGGCUGAGGCAGGAGAAUCACUUGAACCCGGGAGGCGGAGGUUGCUGUGAGCCGAGAUUGUGCCAUUGCACUCCAGCCUGGGCAGCAAGAAGGAAACUCAGUCUCAAAAAAAAAAAAAAAAAGAUAAGAGAUAAGAGAUGUGAACAAAGAUGUUUUAUGCAAAGAUGCUCAUUACUUCAUGAUCAUAGCAAAAGAAAAAAACCUUAAAUGUCCAACAACUGUAACUGUUCAUCACAGUAAGUCCAUACUGGAGAAUAUUACGGAGUCAUUAAAAAUGGCCAUUGGGGCUGGCCAGGCACAGUGGUUCAUGCCUAUAAUCCCAGCAUUUUGGGAGGCCAAGGUGGGAGGAUUGCUUGAACCCAGGAGUUUGAGACUAGUCUAGGCAACAUGGUGAGACUCUGUUUCUACAAAAAAAAUUAAAUUUCCGAGCAUGGUAGCACACAUCUGUAGUCCCAGCCACUCAGGAGGCUAAGAGUGAGAGGAUUGUUUGAGCCCAGGAGCUUGAGGCUGCAGUGAGCCGUGACUGCACCACUGCACUUUAGCCUGGGCAGAGCGAGACAUUGUCUCAAAAAAAAAAAAAAAAAAAAGUCAUUGGGCCAGGUGUGCUGGCUCACACCUGUAAUCUCAGCACUUGAGAGACUGAGGCGGGAGAUCACUUGAAGCCAGGAGAUCUACCUUAGAGGGUUGCUGUGAGAAUCACAUGUGAUAAUCUAUGUAAACUGCUUAGCAGAGAGUUCCUGGUUUACUAUACAACUAGGUAAGGCCGGGCGUGGUGGUUCAUGCCUGUAAUCCUAGCACUUUGGGAGGCUGAGGUGGGCAGAUUGCUUGAGGCCAGGAGUUCAAUACCACCCUGGGCAACAUGGCAAAACCCUGUCUCUGCAAAAAAAUACAAAAAUUAUCUGGGUGUAGUGGUGUGUGUCUGUGGUCCCAGCUACUCGGGAGGCUGAGGCAGGAGGAUCACUUGAACCCAGGAGGUUGAGGCUCCAAUGAGCUGUGACCAUGCCACUACACUUGACCCUGUCUCAAAACCAAAAAAAAAAAAGACUAGAUAAAUAUGAGCAAUGAUUAUUUAAUAAUGGACAUGUGGCCGGGCAUGGUGACUCACGCCUGUAAUCCCGGCACUUUGGGAAGCCAAGGCAGGUGGAUCACCUGAGGUCAGCAGUUCGACACCAGUCUGGCCAA
RNAcentral lists this long non-coding RNA (26369 nucleotides) under Homo sapiens (human). RNAcentral describes it as "non-protein coding lnc-ANAPC7-4:1". The record is from RNAcentral. Lineage: Eukaryota; Metazoa; Chordata; Mammalia; Primates; Hominidae.